AUCGACCAUCUACUCUCUGGAUGCGUGUUCUCUAGGAUUACCUGGCACAAAAUUCUAUCAUGGUGCCGACUCACUACCCCAUCGAUGGACAACGAGACUUCCUUCUUCACGUGGUGGUCCAUGGCUGUCGAAGAAUCCCCGAGCUGCCUACGGAGGGGCCUUAACUUCAUUGUUGCACUGACCGCCUGGGCCAUUUGGAAGCACCGCAAUGCUAUGAUAUUUGAGGGCCUGCGUCCCUCCACCGACGACCUGGUACUCUCGAUCAAGGAUGACACCCGUCUUUGGGCAAAGGCGGGCGCCAAAGGAUUAGCCACGAUUAUCCCUGUAACCUGA
This 333-nucleotide ribosomal RNA is filed under the name Triticum aestivum (bread wheat). Its description in RNAcentral is "partial small subunit ribosomal RNA". Lineage: Eukaryota; Viridiplantae; Streptophyta; Magnoliopsida; Poales; Poaceae. The record is from RNAcentral.